RNAcentral lists this ribosomal RNA (253 nucleotides) under uncultured bacterium. Its description in RNAcentral is "partial 16S ribosomal RNA". It matches the Rfam family "Bacterial small subunit ribosomal RNA", at positions 524 to 776 of the family's 1533-position model. The record is from RNAcentral.
UACGAAGGGGGCUAGCGUUGCUCGGAAUCACUGGGCGUAAAGCGCACGUAGGCGGAUUGCUAAGUCAGGGGUGAAAUCCUGGAGCUCAACUCCAGAACUGCCUUUGAUACUGGCGAUCUCGAGUCCGGGAGAGGUGAGUGGAACUGCGAGUGUAGAGGUGAAAUUCGUAGAUAUUCGCAAGAACACCAGUGGCGAAGGCGGCUCACUGGCCCGGUACUGACGCUGAGGUGCGAAAGCGUGGGGAGCAAAGAGG